Molecule: transfer RNA, 71 nt
Filed under: Ixodes scapularis (black-legged tick)
Lineage: Eukaryota; Metazoa; Arthropoda; Arachnida; Ixodida; Ixodidae
Also listed under: 3 other names
Rfam family: tRNA
About the family: Transfer RNA (tRNA) molecules are approximately 80 nucleotides in length. Their secondary structure includes four short double-helical elements and three loops (D, anti-codon, and T loops).
Source: Rfam by way of RNAcentral
GCGUCGGUGGUUCAGUGGUAGAAUACUCGCCUGCCACGCGGGUGGCCCGGGUUUGAUUCCCGGCCGACGCA